CCUACGGGUGGCAGCAGUGGGGAAUAUUGGGCAAUGGGCGCAAGCCGGACCCAGCAACGCCGCGUGAAGGAAGAAGGCAGUCGGGGGGUAAACGUCUGUUCUCAGGGACGAAGCAAGUGACGGUACCUGAGGAAUAAGCCACGGCUAACUACGGGCCAGCAGCCGCGGUAAUACGUAGGGGGCAAGCGUUAUCCGGAUUUACUGGGUGUAAAGGGCGUGUAGGCGGGAAAGCAAGUCAGAUGUGAAAACCCUGGGCUCAACCUGUUGCCUGCAUUUGAAACUGUUUUUCUUGAGUACUGGUGAGGCAGACGGAAUUCCUGGUGUAGCGGUGAACUGCGUAGAUCUUAGGAGGAACACCAGUGGCGAAGGCGGUCUGCUGGACAGCAACUGACGCUGAGGCGCGAAAGCGUGGGGAGCAAACAGGAUUCGAUCCCCUAGUAGUC
RNAcentral lists this ribosomal RNA (443 nucleotides) under uncultured bacterium. RNAcentral's name for it is "partial 16S ribosomal RNA". It matches the Rfam family "Bacterial small subunit ribosomal RNA", at positions 338 to 795 of the family's 1533-position model. The record is from RNAcentral.